Molecule: non-coding RNA, 91 nt
Filed under: Nocardioides luteus
Lineage: Bacteria; Bacillati; Actinomycetota; Actinomycetes; Propionibacteriales; Nocardioidaceae
Description: Glycine sequence
Rfam family: Glycine riboswitch aptamer
About the family: This family represents the bacterial glycine riboswitch. Glycine riboswitches usually consist of two metabolite-binding aptamers domains with similar structures in tandem. The aptamers cooperatively bind glycine to regulate the expression of downstream genes.
Source: Rfam by way of RNAcentral
CCAUCCCGCACGGGAGAGCCCCACUUGCUGGGGCGCCGAAGGGGCAAUUCCUCCCCGGAAACUCUCAGGCACCCACGACUGUGCGGACCAG